GCAUCGAUGAAGAACGCAGCCAGCUGCGUGAAUUAAUGUGAAUAGCAGGACACAUCGAACAUCGACAUCUUGAACGCACAUUGCGGCUUCGGGUCACUCCCGGAGCCACGCCUGUCUGAGGGUCGGU
This 127-nucleotide ribosomal RNA is filed under the name Glycymeris glycymeris. RNAcentral describes it as "partial 5.8S ribosomal RNA". It matches the Rfam family "5.8S ribosomal RNA", at positions 30 to 154 of the family's 154-position model. Rfam says of the family: 5.8S ribosomal RNA (5.8S rRNA) is a component of the large subunit of the eukaryotic ribosome. It is transcribed by RNA polymerase I as part of the 45S precursor that also contains 18S and 28S rRNA. Lineage: Eukaryota; Metazoa; Mollusca; Bivalvia; Arcoida; Glycymerididae. The record is from RNAcentral.